Molecule: ribosomal RNA, 494 nt
Filed under: uncultured bacterium
Lineage: Bacteria
Description: partial 16S ribosomal RNA
Rfam family: Bacterial small subunit ribosomal RNA
Source: RNAcentral
GACGAACGCUGGCGGCGUGCUUAACACAUGCAAGUCGAACGGUGAAGCACCUUCCUUUUUGGUGGGUGUGGAUGAGUGGCGAACGGGUGAGUAACACGUGAGUAACCUGCCCCCUUCUUCUGGAUAACCGCAUGAAAGUGUGGCUAAUACGGGAUAUUCUGGGUCUGUCGCAUGAUGGGUCUGGGAAAGAUAUUGUUUCGGUGGGGGAUGGGCUCGCGGCCUAUCAGCUUGUUGGUGGGGUGAUGGCCUACCAAGGCGGUGACGGGUAGCCGGCCUGAGAGGGUGGACGGUCACACUGGGACUGAGACACGGCCCAGACUCCUACGGGAGGCAGCAGGGGGGAAUAUUGCACAAUGGGCGCAAGCCUGAUGCAGCGACGCCGCGUGAGGGAUGGAGGCCUUCGGGUUGUGAACCUCUUUCGCCAGUGAAGCAGGCCUGCCUCGUUUGUGGGUGGGUUGACGGUAGCUGGAUAAGAAGCGCCGGCUAACUACGUG